GGUGAGGAACACUGCAGUGAUGUUUUACAGUAAGACAGGUGAGGAACACUGCAGUGAUGUUUUACAGUAAGACAGGUGAGGAACACUGCAGUGAUGUUUUACAGUAAGCCAGGUGGGGAACACUGCAGUGAUGUUUUACAGUAAGCCAGGUGAGGAACACUGCAGUGAUGUUUUACAGUAAGCCAGGUGAGGAACACUGCAGUGAUGUUUUACAGUAAGCCAGGUGAGGAACACUGCAGUGAUGUUUUACAGUAAGCCAGGUGAGGAACACUGCAGUGAUGUUUUACAGUAAGCCAGGUGAGGAACACUGCAGUGAUGUUUUACAGUAAGCCAGGUGAGGAACACUGCAGUGAUGUUUUACAGUAAGCCAGGUGAGGAACACUGCAGUGAUGUUUUACAGUAAGCCAGGUGAGGAACACUGCAGUGAUGUUUUACAGUAAGCCAGGUGAGGAACACUGCAGUGAUGUUUUACAGUAAGCCAGGUGAGGAACACUGCAGUGAUGUUUUACAGUAAGCCAGGUGAGGAACACUGCAGUGAUGUUUUACAGUAAGCCAGGUGAGGAACACUGCAGUGAUGUUUUACAGUAAGCCAGGUGAGGAACACUGCAGUGAUGUUUUACAGUAAGCCAGGUGAGGAACACUGCAGUGAUGUUUUACAGUAAGCCAGGUGAGGAACACUGCAGUGAUGUUUUACAGUAAGCCAGGUGAGGAACACUGCAGUGAUGUUUUACAGUAAGCCAGGUGAGGAACACUGCAGUGAUGUUUUACAGUAAGCCAGGUGGGG
Oncorhynchus keta (chum salmon) is the source of this 784-nucleotide long non-coding RNA. RefSeq lists it as uncharacterized. Lineage: Eukaryota; Metazoa; Chordata; Actinopteri; Salmoniformes; Salmonidae. The record is from RefSeq and is a predicted model, not a curated record. The transcript has 6 exons.